GGAAGGAUCAUUACCGAACUGUCGACACGAGCUGUUGCUGGCCCUCGAAAGGGGCACGUGCACGCUCUGUUUACACAUCCACUAACACCUGUGCACCCUCUGUAGUUCUUAUGGCCUUGGGGACCCGUCCCCUUGCUGUGGUCCUACGUCUUUACACACACGCCGUAGCAAAGUCUCAUGGAAUGUAUGUCGCGUUUAACGCAAUACAAUACAACUUUCAGCAACGGAUCUCUUGGCUCUCGCAUCGAUGAAGAACGCAGCGAAAUGCGAUAAGUAAUGUGAAUUGCAGAAUUCAGUGAAUCAUCGAAUCUUUGAACGCACCUUGCGCCCUUUGGCUAUUCCGAAGGGCAUGCCUGUUUGAGUAUCAUGAACACCUCAACUCUCGUGGUCCGCCACGAUGAGCUUGGACUUUGGGGGUCUUGCCGGUGUAGCGUCGGCUCCUCUCAAAUGGAUCAGCUAGCCAGUGUUUGGUGGCGUCACAGGUGUGAUAACUAUCUACGCUUGUGGUUUCCUGCCUUGUAACCUUCAGUGAUGGAGGUUCGCUGGAGCUCACAGAUGUCUCUCCUUGGGGAAGACAGCUUUUUGAACGUUUGAUCUCAAAUCAGGUAGGACUACCCGCUGAACUUAAGCAUAUCAAUAAGCGGAGGAAAAGAAACUAACAAGGAUUCCCCUAGUAACUGCGAGUGAAGCGGGAAGAGCUCAAAUUUAAAAUCUG
This 715-nucleotide ribosomal RNA is filed under the name uncultured fungus. RNAcentral describes it as "eukaryotic LSU rRNA". The stretch from base 213 to 367 matches the Rfam family "5.8S ribosomal RNA". The record is from RNAcentral. Lineage: Eukaryota; Fungi.